Molecule: non-coding RNA, 642 nt
Filed under: Trichomonas vaginalis G3
Lineage: Eukaryota; Parabasalia; Trichomonadida; Trichomonadidae
Description: Eukaryotic large subunit ribosomal RNA
Rfam family: Eukaryotic large subunit ribosomal RNA
Source: Rfam by way of RNAcentral
GUAGUCUGCCAUACGCAGGAAGACCCGCUGAACUGAAGCAUCUCAUUAAGCGGAGGAAAAGAAACUAACUAGGAUUCCCUUAGUAAAGGCGAUCGAAAAGGGAACAGCCCAACGUCUUAAUCCCGCAAGGGAAAUGUAGUCGGUUCACCUAUUGCACUGGUCUAAGUCAGAUGGAAUGCUGCGCGAUUCAGAGUAAAAGCCUCGUAUGACCAACCGCAAGCUUACGAUGGACCGGGGAGAGUCGGAUACUUUGAGAGUAGUGUCUUAAGGGGGUGGUAUGUCCCAUCCAAGGCUAAAUAACGUGAGGAGACCGAUAGAUUACAAGUAGUGUGAACGAAAGAUGAAAAGAACUCUAAAACAGAGGGUGAAAAGUUCCUGAACUUGCUUAGGGUUAAGGCUAUUUAUAGUACCCGUCUUGAAACACGGAUUAGGGAGUUUAUCUGUAGUGCGAGUCUUUGCACGUUAACUGUAAAGGCGUAGAGAAAGCAACUGGCGUUUGCAUGGCUACUGAGCAUUACUGAUAGGACCCGAAAGGUGGUGAACUUUGCCUGCACAGGUUGAAGUCAGGGGAAACUCUGAUGGAGGACCGUACGGGUUAUUGAUGUGCAAAUCAUUUUUCUGAUGUAGGUAAAGGUGCGAAAG